Molecule: ribosomal RNA, 437 nt
Filed under: uncultured bacterium
Lineage: Bacteria
Description: bacterial SSU rRNA
Rfam family: Bacterial small subunit ribosomal RNA
Source: RNAcentral
AACGCGAAGAACCUUACCUGGGCUCGAAGCACAGUGGACCGGGGUAGAAAUAUCUCUCCCGCAAGGGCAAGUGUAGAGGUGCUGCAUGGCUGUCGUCAGCUCGUGCCGUGAGGUGUUGGGUUAAGUCCCGCAACGAGCGCAACCCUUACCCUUAGUUGCCACCCGCAAGGGGGAACUCUAAGGGGACUGCUCCGGAUAACGGAGAGGAAGGUGGGGAUGAGGUCAAGUCAGCAUGGCCUUUAUGUCCAGGGCUACACACGUGUUACAAUGCAUGGUACAAACCGUCGCAAACCCGUGAGGGGGAGCUAAUCGGAAAAAGCCGGCCUCAGUUCGGAUUGGAGUCUGCAACCCGACUCCAUGAAGCUGGAAUCGCUAGUAAUCGCGGAUCAGAACGCCGCGGUGAAUACGUUCCCGGGCCUUGUACACACCGAGACGUA